UAGGAAGUAGUGUAGUGGAAGCGCUAAGAGUUUUGAUCUCUUGAGGAUGGGUUCGAAUCCCUUCUUCCUAA
RNAcentral lists this transfer RNA (71 nucleotides) under Nettastoma parviceps (shortsnouted sorcerer). RNAcentral's name for it is "tRNA-Gln". It matches the Rfam family "tRNA". Rfam says of the family: Transfer RNA (tRNA) molecules are approximately 80 nucleotides in length. RNAcentral also lists the same sequence under 3 other names. Lineage: Eukaryota; Metazoa; Chordata; Actinopteri; Anguilliformes; Nettastomatidae. The record is from RNAcentral.